This 567-nucleotide small RNA is filed under the name Mycoplasmoides pneumoniae M129. RNAcentral's name for it is "Mycoplasma pneumoniae M129 ncRNA". Lineage: Bacteria; Bacillati; Mycoplasmatota; Mycoplasmoidales; Mycoplasmoidaceae. The record is from RNAcentral.
AGGAAAGGCACUAACUCUCAAAAUACUAAAGAGGACCGACAAGGCCACGAGUGUUUUCUCCCCACCCGAUAACAACAUUAAGUUAGCGACAUUUUUGCCAGGCGGAUUAGCAAACACUUCUAUGCCUGACAACAAGACGUUAUCAGUAUCCGUGUAGCGAAUUUGACACGAACCACCGCCAAAGAGGUAGUUAAAGGUUUUAGGUAGUUCUGCAUUAACUUUUUGGAUGAGCUCGUCAAAUUCCUUGCAGGCCAAUUCAUCAAUUUCACCAAUCGCGGUUUGCAAAUCCUUAAUCGCCGUUUGCAGUGAUUCAUACUCACCGUUAAUGUCAUCAAAGCGCUUUUGCUUAUCAGCAAUUUCAGCAAUCGACUCCAGGUUAAUUGGACCCAUUUCAUCGAGUUGGCUCUGCAUCCUGGCAAUCUUGUUUUGCGCUUGCAUGGUGGAGAGCUUAAUUGGUUUGUUAUAGUUAGCGAUCGCAAACUCCAUCGUUAGUUUAUACCCACCGUUAAUCUUGUCGGUAAUGUUGUGGAUUGUGUUUUCAAAGCGGAUUUUGCCUUCGCGUGCCAA